Molecule: long non-coding RNA, 1565 nt
Filed under: Equus caballus (horse)
Lineage: Eukaryota; Metazoa; Chordata; Mammalia; Perissodactyla; Equidae
Description: lncRNA (ENSECAG00000046935.1)
Source: RNAcentral
GGAGUCUCUUCAGGGCGCACGGGGUCCUCGGAGGGAUGAGCACUUUCAGCCUCCGCACGGUGAGCCUGGAGCUGGCUAGGUGCCUCAUCGAAUCCUCCCCAAAACCCAAUGAGCAGGGUCUCAGAGCCAAGCGCCCAGACAGGCCUGGCAAGUCACAAAGGAGUGAGGAAGGCUCGACCCCACCAGCUGACAGCCAGCAGGCCCUGAGGGAGGACCACCUGCCAGACUCGUUCCAGCAGGUUCUGGAUAUGGACUCAGCCAAUCCCCCAGCCCUGUCGGGACUCAGGUCAAUGUCCCUCCUGGUCCCUGAGUCCCCAUCCAAGCCCCCACACCCGUCACUCCCUCCCUGCAGCCUGGUUAGCUGCCUUCCCAGCGCCUCUCACCUCAGGAAAUCCUCUCGAGCGUCGCUGGAGUGAUUUCUUGCUCAUCGUCUGUCUCCGGCCACAAGUGCAGGGUCUGUAGGGGCAGGAUGGGGACCACGGCCGCACCCCCAGAGCCUGGAGCUGUGCCUGGCACAGAGCACGUGCUUAACAGAGCCCGUUGGAUGAAUGCCACACGUUGGCCGCUGGAGGAUGCUGGAAGAAAUCUCCAAGAUCGCCCUCUGACCUGCUCACUUGACAGAGGACAUGGUGGGAGGUGGGGGGCUCCAGAACUGUGCCCCUGACCACCUGGCUGCACUGCCACACGGCACACAUCAUGGACACACAGGACACGGAUUGCCAAGGAGCCCAUUGACUUUCUAGCAAGAGCGAAGCCGUCUGUGCGCAAGACUCAGUCUGAGGAGUGAUGGGCCACAGGCUGCAGUGGAAUAAACUGGGAAGCUCUGCUCCCCUUGUCACAUCCUGAGCUCAAACCAGACAGGGUCCUUAGGAGGUGACAGCCGACAGCGUUAAAGAAAGUGUCAGCGGUUGCUGUGGGAAGAUGUUCCCCCAGGAGAGGAAGCUGGGGAGCCAGCACCCACAAUCUUGGUGGAGUCUCUUUCUAGAACCUGCUUGCGUCUCUCAGCCACCUGUCACACAGAGCUGCCUGGAGACCAAGUGACGUGGGUGAGGCUUCAUUCCGGGCACAGCUGGUGUGGUAGGACCCUCGGGGCCAGAGUCUGGGAUGCGGGUCCCAGGCCUGGCGCUCCGGCCUCUCGGCUGGGUGACCUCUGGAGAGUCUCCCAGCCUGACAGGUCUCUGUUCUCCUCAUCUUUGCAACGAGCAGAAUGAGCCUCUCCCGCCACCUCCCAGGGCUGUUGGGGGUCACCUCCACUGAUGGAUGCCAGGACACGCUGGCAGCGUGUGUGGUUGCUCUCUGCCUGCAAAUUAUUCCAAAAUCUGGUGCCGGGUUUCCAGCCCAUGACGUGUUUUCAUGUCUGUUUCUAGUCCAUAUUGCAAAGGUAGUUUCCUCUGCAGCCAGCACAGGUACGUUACUAUUUAUUAAACUCUGCACGUUAUUGAGAUUUUACUAGUUUUCUCUCGUGUCCUUUUUCCGUUCUACACUCCCAUUCAGGACACCAAAUUAUCUACACUGUGUGUUUCAAACAUUUUUGGACAUAACCCAAAGUUAAAAGUGCAUUUUAC